This 491-nucleotide ribosomal RNA is filed under the name Pseudomonas sp. Nj-89. Its description in RNAcentral is "bacterial SSU rRNA". It matches the Rfam family "Bacterial small subunit ribosomal RNA", at positions 496 to 987 of the family's 1533-position model. Lineage: Bacteria; Pseudomonadati; Pseudomonadota; Gammaproteobacteria; Pseudomonadales; Pseudomonadaceae. The record is from RNAcentral.
GCUAACUACGUGCCANCAGCCGCUUUAAUACGUAGGGUGCAAGCGUUGAUCGGAAUUACUKGGCGUWAARCGUGCGCAGGCGGUUUUGUAAGUCUGAUAUGAAAUCCCCGGGCUCAACCUGGGAAUUGCAUUGGAGACUGCAAGGCUAAAAUCUGGCAGAGGGGGGUAGAAUUCCACGUGUAGCAGUGAAAUGCGUAGAUAUGUGGAGGAAUACUGAUGGCGAAGGCAGCCCCCUGGGUCAAGAUUGACGCUCAUGUACGAAAGCGUGGGGAGCAAACAGGAUUAGAUACCCUGGUAGUCCACGCCCUAAACGAUGUCUACUAGUUGUCGGGUCUUAAUUGACUUGGUAACGCAGCUAACGCGUGAAGUAGACCGCCUGGGGAGUACGGUCGCAAGAUUAAAACUCAAAGGAAUUGACGGGGACCCGCACAAGCGGUGGAUGAUGUGGAUUAAUUCGAUGCAACGCGAAAAACCUUACCUACCCUUGACAU